RNAcentral lists this ribosomal RNA (253 nucleotides) under uncultured bacterium. Its description in RNAcentral is "partial 16S ribosomal RNA". It matches the Rfam family "Bacterial small subunit ribosomal RNA", at positions 524 to 776 of the family's 1533-position model. The record is from RNAcentral.
UACGAAGGGGGCUAGCGUUGCUCGGAAUUACUGGGCGUAAAGGGCGCGUAGGUGGACAGUUUAGUCAGAGGUGAAAGCCCAGGGCUCAACCUUGGAAUUGCCUUUGAUACUGGCUGUCUUGAGUACGGAAGAGGUAUGUGGAACUCCGAGUGUAGAGGUGAAAUUCGUAGAUAUUCGGAAGAACACCAGUGGCGAAGGCGACAUACUGGUCCGUUACUGACACUGAGGCUCGAAAGCGUGGGGAGCAAACAGG